Molecule: long non-coding RNA, 214 nt
Filed under: Mytilus galloprovincialis (Mediterranean mussel)
Lineage: Eukaryota; Metazoa; Mollusca; Bivalvia; Mytilida; Mytilidae
Source: RNAcentral
GCAUGUCAUAUUAUGAGCGUUCGGAAGUACGUGUAAUAUUAUCUUCAGUAGCACCAGGGGUCGCGUGUAAUUCGAUCACUGAUAUUCAAUCUUUAAUAUCAUGGCUGAAAACAACGAUAUCAAAAUUUAAGAUACAUUUUGCAGUUUUCGGAAUUUUAACAAUGGAAUACGAUAGCAUGAACUUCAAAGAAUGAUAUAAUCUUAUGAAAGGGGC